GUUUAGUGAUGAUCACCCAUGCGUGUCAACUGAUCCCAGAGUCCCCUGCGGUUGCCGGGCGCCGGCCGGCGUUCUGCAGGUCGGCGUUCCGAAGCUGCAGGCCUCUGGAAUGUGAUCUGACCUCAUGAGACUGAAAAC
Small nucleolar RNA from Osmerus eperlanus (European smelt), 138 nucleotides. RefSeq annotates it as small nucleolar RNA SNORD10. Lineage: Eukaryota; Metazoa; Chordata; Actinopteri; Osmeriformes; Osmeridae. The record is from RefSeq and is a predicted model, not a curated record. The transcript has a single exon.